RNAcentral lists this ribosomal RNA (118 nucleotides) under Solidago speciosa (showy goldenrod). Its description in RNAcentral is "partial 18S ribosomal RNA". It matches the Rfam family "Eukaryotic small subunit ribosomal RNA", at positions 1718 to 1831 of the family's 1831-position model. Lineage: Eukaryota; Viridiplantae; Streptophyta; Magnoliopsida; Asterales; Asteraceae. The record is from RNAcentral.
CGGCGACGUGGGUGGUUCGCCGCCUGCGACGUCGCGAGAAUUCCACUGAACCUUAUCAUUUAGAGGAAGGAGAAGUCGUAACAAGGUUUCCGUAGGUGAACCUGCGGAAGGAUCAUUG